This 429-nucleotide non-coding RNA is filed under the name Desulfosporosinus sp. I2. Its description in RNAcentral is "Bacterial large subunit ribosomal RNA". It matches the Rfam family "Bacterial large subunit ribosomal RNA", at positions 1 to 458 of the family's 2925-position model. The record is from Rfam by way of RNAcentral. Lineage: Bacteria; Bacillati; Bacillota; Clostridia; Eubacteriales; Desulfitobacteriaceae.
GGUCAAGCUACUAAGGGCGUACGGUGGAUGCCUAGGCGCUAAGAGUCGAUGAAGGGCGCGGUUAACAGCGAAAUGCCACGGGGAGUCGUAAGCAGGCUUUGAUCCGUGGAUACCCGAAUGGGGCAACCCAACCGGAGUCAUAUCUGGUUAUCGUUAACUGAAUACAUAGGUUAACGAAGGCAACCCGGGGAACUGAAACAUCUAAGUACCCGGAGGAAGAGAAAGAAUAAUCGAUUCCCUGAGUAGCGGCGAGCGAAACGGGAAGAGCCCAAACCGUACUCGAGAUUCGAGGUUCGAAAUUCGAGGUACGAGUAAAGUCAUUCUAUAGGGUCAUAAAGACCCCUAAGAAUAGCUUAGUUCGAAUCUCGAACAUCGUAUUUCGAAUCUCGAGUAUGGGGUUGUAGGACCCUCUAUUAAGAAUGAUUCCUU